ACCAAAAAAUGAAAAAAAA
This 19-nucleotide small RNA is filed under the name Arabidopsis thaliana (thale cress). RNAcentral's name for it is "ATSL295140". Lineage: Eukaryota; Viridiplantae; Streptophyta; Magnoliopsida; Brassicales; Brassicaceae. The record is from RNAcentral.